AAGGUGUUUUGAAGGAUAAUAUCCCGUCCUCCCAGGCUUAUGGCCUGGUGUAGGAUCAGAGGGUCAAAGAAGUGGAAUAAUUAUGAAGUUUUAAUGGGUGUAGGGUUAGUUGUCUCGUCAAUUUUUGUCACGAAGUGUAAUGAAAAUAGUAAGCUGAUAAAAAGACAAAUCAGUAGGUGGCAGCAUGCACCAAUAAUAAUUGUAUGCAAACCGCCAUUAUACCGAAGAAGAAGACGUUUUCUUGCUUUACAACAGCCCUUCUCGCAGGAAGUGUGAAUGCCCUAACAUCUAGCACGGUUGCAUUGCUGUAAAAUUCCACUGCGGACGUCGGAUUGAACAUACUUUGGGUUUCACUGGUUCGCUGCACGGACAGCGCAGCGGUAAUCAGGCUGGUAUUUUAUAGGCUACACUUACUGGGCCUCAGACAAUUAAAACUAUCUGGACUCCCGAAGAGGACGUUGUUCCAACAGACUCUCGGGUAGAGUUAGACGAGAACAGAUAACACGAUUCUUGGUGAAUAGGGCUUUAAACGUUUUUACUUUAAUAGAUCAGGUCAAAUCUAUGUGAGAUUAGCCUACAUCACAUUUAUUUGUCACCACUAAAGUUUUGAUAUUGAAAAGGACGUCUGAUUGCUCUGAUCUGGCUGUUUUUAAAUCUGAAUUCUGCAACAAAGAAAGUAACUAGUGUAGGCUAGCUACAGAUGUACUGUCGUGUUUUUAUUUGAAGAAAUAAUAGCUUCCACGAUGGAUCGGGACAGAGCUAGUCCGUCCCCUUCCAACCUGCCGGAGUCCCCUGGUCACAACUCUCCUGGUAGCACCUUACUGCUGGAUCUGAAGAAGGUGUCUGUGAGGCUGGUCGACUGCAGGAAAACACCAGGGCAGAGUGGAACUGUGAGAGAAGGACACGAGGAGGGAGAUUGAGAUCUGAUUUCAUCAAGUGACACCCCUAACUGUCGUUCUCUCAGUGGGAGGAGCUUAUCAUCUGGGGAGCCUCAACAACAUGUUACUGACGUGACAGAGAAGAGUCUCUCAGAUCAGAACACCUCAAGAAACACCAGCAGAGAUGUAGAGGGAA
Molecule: long non-coding RNA, 1074 nt
Organism: Oncorhynchus tshawytscha (Chinook salmon)
Lineage: Eukaryota; Metazoa; Chordata; Actinopteri; Salmoniformes; Salmonidae
Exons: 3
Source: RefSeq, a predicted model, not a curated record